UUCAAUUUUUUUAAAGAUUUUAUUUGUUUAUUUUUAGAGGGGAAGGGAAGGAGAGAGGGACAGAAACAUCAAUGUAUGGUUGCCUUCAUGCGUCCCCUGCUGGGAACUGGCCUGCAACCCAGGCAUGUGCCCUGACUGGGAAUCGAACCACGAUUGUCUGGUUUGCAGGCCCGCGCUCAGUCCACUGAGCUACACCAGCCAGGGCUGACUUCAAUUUCUAUCUCAUCGGCUAGAAUCUGGCCUCAAGCCCCUCCCUCCCCCACCAGAGAUGCAGAGGAACCUAGGAAAAAAGAGAAGGAACAUGUUUAAUAUCAUCAUAAUUUAUCACCUGGAGAGGAGUGAGAAAUUCCCCAGUUUCAACUUGGGUUUUGAUGAUAACAGAAGGGAAAUGAACUGCUUUAAAACAUGUUUCUCUUUGAGGAUCAAUGAACGACCCCACACUUCCCCUCCAAAUAAAGACCGGCCCUCCACCUGUAACUGUGGGGUGGGAUGCUCCUGCUCCUACACUCAGGGGCUCUGCAUCUUGGUGGGACUCCUGACAACUCCCACCCCCAAACGCCCCCAGUUGUUUCAUUUGGGGCCUUAGAACACAGCGGUGCGUGGAAAUGGUAAGUUUGUGGAUGCAGGCCCUCACCAAUGCAGCUUUCUUUUCGGGUUGGGCAGUAGGGGCUUGGGUGUGCCCUAAGCUUGUAUUGGGGAAAACGGUUCACGCUGAACUCACCUGUGUCUGCACCCGUUGUUCUGAGGAUGUGUGUGUGCCUGUGUGUGUGUGUGACAGAGACCCGAGCAGAUGUUCUGAUGAGAAGGGUAGAAGCAUCACAAGAGUGUGUGUCCCUGCGGUCCUUCUUGUGAGGUGGCACAUGGCUUUUAUUCCUGAGGACAAUGGGGCAGCUUGUGCAAAAGCCAACACGCCAUUGCCGCUGUCACGGCGUCAGCCCCAGGACCCUGAGCAUGGCUCCCUGUGUGUUUGUUAUGAGUUGCCAGGAGAAAAACAGAUUACUGUCUCUCAUUUUUUUGUUUGACCCAGGUUCUUGUGGCAAAUGUGCAAGAAGAGAGGAAAAAAAAGACCUGAGCUUUAGAACUUUGUAUCGAUUUUAUUUUGAUGUUUUUAAAUAACAAAUUAUUGAAUGUUUAAAAAUUUAAUUCAGUGUGUACUUACACAUACAUUAUGUGCAUUCCAACAUUCAGCUGGAGCUGUCUCUAAAGUCACCAGUGCCUGGGCGAGAGGCACUCAUCUGCUGCUGGUGGAAUGUGCUGCCCCCCACGCCGGUCGUGGAAGAGCGGAGAAGGAGUUCUCGCCCUGCACAGAGGCAGCGAGGCAGCUGCAGGUGGUCUGCGGAGGCGCUGCCGUGACCGAUCCCGUGGAUGCCGCCAGCCUGCUCCCAGGCUUCUGAGGGCCAGGGCCUCCUCCACAUGCCCGAACUGGGCAGGCAGAACUUGACCUUGACAAUGAUAGUGCAGAUGAAAGGUAACUUUGCAGGUGAGUGAUGAUUCUACACGUGAGAAAUGAGAGUGCAGUUGAGAGAUGAUAGUGCAGGUGAAAUGUAACUGUUCAGGUGAGUGGUUACCGUUGAGGUGAGUAUAACUGUGCAUGUAAGUGAUGGCUGUGCAGUGAAAGAUGAUUGGGCAGGGCAGAGUGAGAGUGCCAGUGAGAAAUGAUUGUGCAUUAGAGUGAUGAGUGUGCAGGUUAGAGAUGACUGUGCAUAUGGGAGAUGACUGUGAAGGUGAGUGAAAAUUGUGCAGGGAGUGAUGAGAGUGCAGGUGAGUGAUGGCGGUGAAAGUGAAAGAUUACUGUGCAGGUCAGUGAUGGUUGUGCAGUGAGAGAUGAGUAUGCAGGUGAGAGAUGAUGGUGCAGCUGAGUUGUAACUCUGAAGGUGAGAGAUGGCUGUGCAGAUGAGAGAUGACUAUACAGGUGAGUGAAGAUUGGGCAGGGAGUAAUGAGCGUGCAUGUUAGAGAAGGCUGUGCAGGUGAGUGAUGAUUGUAAAGAUGAGUUAUGGCUGUGCAGGUGAAAAAUGACUGUGCAGGUGAGUGAUGCUGUGCUGGUGAGAGAUGAGUGUGAAGGUGAAAGAUGAUAGUGCCAGUGAAUGGUAACUGUGCAGGUGAUUGAUUACCAUUGAGGUGAGAAUAACUGUGCAUGUCAGUGAUGGCUGUGCAGUGAAAGAUGAUUGGGCAGGGAGAGUGAGAAUGCAGGUGAGAAAUGAUUGUGCAGGUGAGUGAUGACUGUGCAGGUUAGAGAUUGCUGUGUAUUUGAGUGACAAGUGUGCAGGUAUGCGGUGGCUGUGCAAGUGUGUGAUGAGUGUGCAUGUGAGUGAUGGCUGUGAAGGUGAGUGAUGAUUGUGUAAAUGAGAGAUGGCUAUGCAAAUAGAGAUGUCUGUGCAUGUGAGUGAUUAGUGUGCAGCUGAGAGAUUACUGUACAGGUGAGGGAUGGCUGUGCAGUGAGAAAUGAGUGUGCAGAUGAAAGACGAUAGUGCAGGUGAGAAGUAACACUGAAGGUGA
Artibeus jamaicensis (Jamaican fruit-eating bat) is the source of this 2497-nucleotide long non-coding RNA. RefSeq lists it as uncharacterized. NCBI's taxonomy places the organism in Eukaryota, Metazoa, Chordata, Mammalia, Chiroptera, Phyllostomidae. The transcript is spliced from 3 exons. The record is from RefSeq and is a predicted model, not a curated record.